CAGCAGCCGCGGUAAUACGUAGGGUGCGAGCGUUAAUCGGAAUUACUGGGCGUAAAGCGUGCGCAGGCGGUUAUAUAAGACAGAUGUGAAAUCCCCGGGCUCAACCUGGGAACUGCAUUUGAGACUGUAUGGCUAGAGUGUGUCAGAGGGGGGUAGAAUUCCACGUGUAGCAGUGAAAUGCGUAGAUAUGUGGAGGAAUACCGAUGGCGAAGGCAGCCCCCUGGGAUAACACUGACGCUCAUGCACGAAAGCGUGGGGAGCAAACAGGAUUAGAUACCCCAGUAGUCCCUGUCUCUUAUAC
RNAcentral lists this ribosomal RNA (301 nucleotides) under uncultured bacterium. RNAcentral describes it as "partial 16S ribosomal RNA". It matches the Rfam family "Bacterial small subunit ribosomal RNA", at positions 509 to 807 of the family's 1533-position model. The record is from RNAcentral.